This 24-nucleotide non-coding RNA is filed under the name Mus musculus (house mouse). Lineage: Eukaryota; Metazoa; Chordata; Mammalia; Rodentia; Muridae. The record is from RNAcentral.
UGGUUGCCGGCAGGGUAAGUUCAC